UUGAUCCUGGCUCAGAAUCAACGCUGGCGGCGUGCCUAACACAUGCAAGUCGCACGAGAAAGGGUAGCAAUACCUGAGUAAAGUGGCGCACGGGUGAGUUACACGUGAAUUAUCUACCUCCGAGUGGGGAAUAACUGAGAGAAAUCUUAUCUAAUACCGCAUAACACUUACGAGUCAAAGCAGCAAUGCGCUUGGAGAGUAGUUCGCGGCCGAUUAGUUAGUUGGCGGGGUAAUGGCCCACCAAGACGAUGAUCGGUAUCCGGCCUGAGAGGGCGCACGGACACACUGGAACUGAAACAUGGUCCAGACUCCUACGGGAGGCAGCAGUGGGGAAUUUUGCGCAAUGGGGUAAACCCUGACGCAGCAACGCCGCGUGGAGGAUGAAAUAUCUUGGUAUGUUAACUCCUUUCGAUGGGGAAGAUUAUGACGGUACCCAUAGAAGAAGCCCCUGCUAACUUCGUGCCAGCAGCCGCGGUAAUAAGU
Molecule: ribosomal RNA, 483 nt
Filed under: uncultured Acidobacteriota bacterium
Lineage: Bacteria; Pseudomonadati; Acidobacteriota
Description: bacterial SSU rRNA
Rfam family: Bacterial small subunit ribosomal RNA
Source: RNAcentral